RNAcentral lists this non-coding RNA (90 nucleotides) under Anaerocolumna xylanovorans. RNAcentral describes it as "c-di-GMP sequence". It matches the Rfam family "c-di-GMP-I riboswitch aptamer". From Rfam's summary of the family: GEMM was predicted in a large-scale screen for bacterial structured RNA regulatory elements. Genes associated with GEMM are involved in a diverse array of functions, including chemotaxis regulation, signal transduction, secretion and chitin. Lineage: Bacteria; Bacillati; Bacillota; Clostridia; Lachnospirales; Lachnospiraceae. RNAcentral also lists the same sequence under 1 other name. The record is from RNAcentral.
CACCGACAAAGGCAAACCUGUUGAAAAGCAGGGGCGCAAAGCUAGAGGGCCUUACUAAAUGUAUCAUUUAGGUGGCAGCCAGUUACCGAA